Molecule: long non-coding RNA, 1901 nt
Organism: Anolis carolinensis (green anole)
Lineage: Eukaryota; Metazoa; Chordata; Lepidosauria; Squamata; Anolidae
Source: Ensembl
UUAUUUAUUUAUUUACAGUAUUUAUAUUCCGCCCUUCUCACCCCAAGGGGACUCAGGGCAGAUCACAUUAUACACACAUAGGGCAAACAUUCAAUGCCCAUAAACACAUCAAACAGAGACAGACAGACGCAGAGGCAAUUUAACCUUCUCCUGAGGGGAUGUUCGAUUCUGGCCACAGGGGGAGCAGUUGCUUCAUCAUCCACUCUGACGGCACUUCCUCAUUCCAAGUCAUAAAUUAGUUAAACUUGCCUCCCCACUUUUAUAAGUGGUACCUUAUUUCCUACUUGAUAGAUGCAACUAUCUUUCGGAUUGCUAGGUCAGCAACGAGCAGGGACUAUUUUUAUUUUUAAUUGAUGGGUGCUCACCCCGCCACGGGCUGACCUCGAACACAUGACCUCAUGGUCAGAGUGAUUUAUUGCAGCAGGCUGCUCAACAGCCUGCGCCACAGCCAGGCCCCCACUAAAUGGAAAAAAGAGGGCUUUAUGUAUUGUUGAUAAAGCUUGACAAUAUAUUUGAAAUGGAAUAAUCCCUUUAUAAGGUCUGAGCACUUCCUGCUACUACUGCAGCAAUUUCUGCUCCAAGAUUGGGUCCAAAGCAGUGAGGCAGCAGUUAGGGAUGUGUUUUAUGACCUCUUUUGCCGGCAGUUGCUGACAAAAGGGAAGGCGCGUGGGGCAGCUCGUGGUGCCCCGUGUGCCUUUCCUCCUUACCUAUAGCUACUUGCUAUUAAAUAUUGCUUCAGAUUCUUGAAAAGUGGCUGGUUUCUAUGCUGUAUUCCUUGAUAUGUAAUUACUUAGGAUUGCAUGCCUGGCAAAUUAACGCAAGAAAUGAUUUCAUGUGAAAUAAUUCUGAGAUUCUUUUUUUCCUGUGUCAGGAGCAACUUGAGUUGCUUCUGGAGUGAGAGAAUUGGCCGUCUGCAAGGACGUUGCCCAGGGGACGUCCAGAUGUUUUGAUGUUUUUACCAUCCUUGUGGGAGGCUUCUCUCAUGUCCCCGCAUGGAUGAUAAAAACAUCAAAACAUCUGGGCAUCCACUGGGCAACGUCCUUGCAGAUGGCCAGUUCUCUCACAACAAAAGCGACUUGCAGUUUCUCAAGUGUUUUCUGACAUGGAAAAAAAAUAGAAUCACACAUUCACUCCUUGAGCUCCCUCCAAAUACCAAAUUGUGUUUCAAAUUAUAUUUCUUCGGAGAAUCAGUUUUGUUCUGCUGCUCAUUUUGGAUUGUAGCCAUGUCCUACUGAUAUUUAAAAACAUCCUGGGGAAUAAUAGAAAAGUAACAUUUCCUCUCAUAAAAAAAUGUGUAAAUAAAUAAGGCAUCAUUAAUUGGCAAAAGGAAAAGUUCUUACAAAGAAGGCCCACAUGAGGUAGAAGAUGCCUCCUACCCACCCUGAAUGGCACAUAUCUUUCUCAAAACCAGCCAAGUUAUUCUGGCACACAAAGCAGGAAAUCCCACAAGUACCUCUCCUUAUCUCUGGCAAUAAAAAUACAGGGGUAAUGAAUUAAAUAGAAAAAAAAGAUAAUUUGCUGAUUUCUCAUAGCAAACCUGUUUAAAAAUAUAUGUGUAUUAAGAGAAUUCUAGAGAACUUGCAUGGUGUAGUGGUUAGACCACGGUUCAAAUACCUACUUCGCCUUGUAAAUCAAUAUGAUCUUUGGAAAGUUACCCUCUCUCAGUUUCAGGAGAUGGUGAUGCAAGCCUCCCUCUCUGGAUUGAUUUUUGCCAAUAAAGCCUUAGAGCAACCAUGGACAAACUUCAGUCUUCCAAGUGUUUUGGACUUCAACUUCCACAAUUCCUAACAGCCAGUAAGCUGGCUGGGAUUUCUGAGAGUUGAAAGGCAGGCAUCGGCCAAAGUUUGCCCAUGCCUGCCUUAGAGUCAACAUAUGUUGCAUGAGUGAUCACUUGUGAUCGA